AUUGAACGCUGGCGGCAGGCUUAACACAUGCAAGUCGAGCGGAGAGAGGUAGCUUGCUACUGAUCUUAGCGGCGGACGGGUGAGUAAUGCUUAGGAAUCUGCCUAUUAGUGGGGGACAACAUUUCGAAAGGAAUGCUAAUACCGCAUACGUCCUACGGGAGAAAGCAGGGGAUCUUCGGACCUUGCGCUAAUAGAUGAGCCUAAGUCGGAUUAGCUAGUUGGUGGGGUAAAGGCCUACCAAGGCGACGAUCUGUAGCGGGUCUGAGAGGAUGAUCCGCCACACUGGGACUGAGACACGGCCCAGACUCCUACGGGAGGCAGCAGUGGGGAAUAUUGGACAAUUGGCGGAAGCCUGAUCUAGCCAUGCCGCGUGUGUGAAGAAGGCCUUAUGGUUGUAAAGCACUUUAAGCGAGGAGGAGGCUACUUUAGUUAAUACCUAGAGAUAGUGGACGUUACUCGCAGAAUAAGCACCGGCUAACUCUGUGCCAGCCGCCGCAGUAA
RNAcentral lists this ribosomal RNA (501 nucleotides) under uncultured bacterium. RNAcentral describes it as "partial 16S ribosomal RNA". It matches the Rfam family "Bacterial small subunit ribosomal RNA", at positions 30 to 523 of the family's 1533-position model. The record is from RNAcentral.